AGAAGAAUCAUUUGAACCCGGGAGGUGGAGGUUGCAGUGAGCCGAGAUUGCACCAUUGCACUCCAGACUGGGGGACAAGA
This 80-nucleotide small nuclear RNA is filed under the name Homo sapiens (human). RNAcentral describes it as "partial ncRNA". The record is from RNAcentral. Lineage: Eukaryota; Metazoa; Chordata; Mammalia; Primates; Hominidae.